GAUGAAGAACGUAGCGAAAUGCGAUACGUAAUGUGAAUUGCAGAAUUCAGUGAAUCAUCGAGUCUUUGAACGCUCAUUGCCCCCCCUGGUAUUCCGGGGGGCAUGCCUGUCCGAGCGUCAUUGCUGCCCUCAAGCACGGCUUGUGUGUUGGGCCUCCGUCCUCCUCCCGGGGGACGGGCCCGAAAGGCAGCGGCGGCACCGCGUCCGGUCCUCGAGCGUAUGGGGCUUCGUCACCCGCUCUUGUAGGCCCGGCCGGCGCUUGCCGACACAUCAAUCUUUUUUCCAGGUUGACCUCGGAUCAGGUAGGGAUACCCGCUGAACUUAAGCAUAUCAAUAACGGAGGA
This 344-nucleotide unclassified non-coding RNA is filed under the name soil metagenome. RNAcentral's name for it is "partial contains 5.8S ribosomal RNA, internal transcribed spacer 2, and large subunit ribosomal RNA". The stretch from base 1 to 120 matches the Rfam family "5.8S ribosomal RNA", at positions 35 to 154 of the family's 154-position model. The record is from RNAcentral.